UAAAUAAAUUUUUUAUAUUUUUUAUAAUUUAUUAUGAAUUUAUUUUACAUGUAAAUUUUAGUAUUAAAUUUUAAUUAUUUUAAUAAUAAUUAAUUUAUAUAUACAGUAAUUAAAAUUAAAAAUUUAAGAAAUUAAGAUUUAGUAAUAUAUAAAUUAAUAACUAAUUUUGUGCCAGCAGUUGCGGUUAAACAAAAAUUAAAUUAAAUUAUUUCAGUAUAUAAUAAAUAAUAAAUUAUUAAAUUAAAUAUUAAAUUAUUAAGUGAAAUUUUAAUUUAAUUAAAAAUUAUGUUAAAAUUAUGAUUUAAUAAAUUUUAUUUUAAACUAGGAUUAGAUACCCUAUUAUUAAAAAUUUAAUUAAUAAUACUAAAAUAGUAGAUAAAAUAUUAUUGAAACUUAAAUAAUAUGGCGGUAUUUUAGUUCAUUUAGAGGAAUCUGUCUGGUAAUUGAUAAUCCACGAAUAAAUUUACUUAAUUUAUAAUUUUGUAUAUCAUUGUUAAAAAAAUAUUUUUUAAUGAAAAUAAUAUUUUAAAAUUUAAAAUAAAAUUUAAUUCAGAUCAAGAUGCAGAUUAUAAUUAAGUUUAAGAUGGAUUACAAUAAAUUUAUUUAAAUGAAAAGAAUUUUGUAAAAUUUAAUUGAAAGUGGAUUUAAAUGUAAUUUUAAUUAAUUUAUUAAAAUGAUUAAAAAUUGAAAUAUGUACAUAUUGCCCGUCACUUUCAUUUUAAAAUUGAAAUAAGUCGUAACAAAGUAGAGGUACUGGAAAGUGUUUCUAGAAUGAU
RNAcentral lists this non-coding RNA (776 nucleotides) under Limenitis amphyssa. Lineage: Eukaryota; Metazoa; Arthropoda; Insecta; Lepidoptera; Nymphalidae. The record is from RNAcentral.